UGGGGAAUUUUCCGCAAUGGGCGCAAGCCUGACGGAGCAAUACCGCGUGAGGGAGGAAGGCUUUUGGGUUGUAAACCUCUUUUGUUAAGGAAGAAGCAAGUGACGGUACUUAACGAAUCAGCAUCGGCUAACUCCGUGCCAGCAGCCGCGGUAAUACGGAGGAUGCAAGCGUUGUCCGGAAUUAUUGGGUGUAAAGGGUGUGUAGGCGGACUUGUAAGUCAGAGGUGAAAGCCCACGGCUUAACCGUGGAAUUGCCCCUGAUACUGCAGGUCUUGAGUCCUGGAGAGGUCGCUGGAAUUCGUGGUGUAGCGGUGAAAUGCGUAGAUAUCACGAGGAACACCAGAGGUGUAGACGGGUGACUGGACAGGUACUGACGCUGAGGCACGAAAGCGUGGGGAGCAAACAGGAUUAGAUACCCCGGUAGUCC
Molecule: ribosomal RNA, 427 nt
Filed under: uncultured prokaryote
Description: bacterial SSU rRNA
Rfam family: Bacterial small subunit ribosomal RNA
Source: RNAcentral